This 85-nucleotide transfer RNA is filed under the name Bacteroidales bacterium. RNAcentral's name for it is "tRNA-Leu". It matches the Rfam family "tRNA". Rfam says of the family: Transfer RNA (tRNA) molecules are approximately 80 nucleotides in length. Their secondary structure includes four short double-helical elements and three loops (D, anti-codon, and T loops). Further hydrogen bonds mediate the characteristic L-shaped molecular structure. tRNAs have two regions of fundamental functional importance: the anti-codon, which is responsible for specific mRNA codon recognition, and the 3' end, to which the tRNAs corresponding amino acid is attached (by aminoacyl-tRNA synthetases). tRNAs cope with the degeneracy of the genetic code in two manners: having more than one tRNA (with a specific anti-codon) for a particular amino acid; and 'wobble' base-pairing, i.e. permitting non-standard base-pairing at the 3rd anti-codon position. Lineage: Bacteria; Pseudomonadati; Bacteroidota; Bacteroidia; Bacteroidales. RNAcentral also lists the same sequence under 1 other name. The record is from RNAcentral.
GCCUGAGUGGUGGAAUUGGUAGACACGAGGGACUUAAAAUCCCUUGGCCUUUAAAGCCGUGCCGGUUCGAGCCCGGCCUCGGGUA